This 497-nucleotide ribosomal RNA is filed under the name uncultured bacterium. RNAcentral's name for it is "partial 16S ribosomal RNA". It matches the Rfam family "Bacterial small subunit ribosomal RNA", at positions 28 to 507 of the family's 1533-position model. The record is from RNAcentral.
GAUGAACGCUGGCGGCGUGCCUAAUACAUGCAAGUCGAGCGAACAGACGAGGAGCUUGCUCCUCUGACGUUAGCGGCGGACGGGUGAGUAACACGUGGAUAACCCACCUAUAAGACUGGGAUAACUUCGGGAAACCGGAGCUAAUACCGGAUAAUAUAUUGAACCGCAUGGUUCAAUAGUGAAAGACGGUUUUGCUGUCACUUAUAGAUGGAUCCGCGCCGCAUUAGCUAGUUGGUAAGGUAACGGCUUACCAAGGCAACGAUGCGUAGCCGACCUGAGAGGGUGAUCGGCCACACUGGAACUGAGACACGGUCCAGACUCCUACGGGAGGCAGCAGUAGGGAAUCUUCCGCAAUGGGCGAAAGCUUGACGGAGCAAUGCCGCGUGAGUGAUGAAGGUCUUCGGAUCGUAAAACUCUGUUAUUAGGGAAGAACAAAUGUGUAAGUAACUAUGCACGUCUUGACGGUACCUAAUCAGAAAGCCACGGCUAACUACGUG